CUUAAAGAACUAAUGGAGAAGGAUGUUGGUGUGGAUAUAAUGCCGCCAUCGUUUGUCAAUGGUCAAUUGAAAUGUAAAAUGAGGAAGGAGAAAAUCAAUGCUGCUAAGUUGCGGAUAAAACGAAUUAUGCAUCCAGUAGAUGCUAAUCUAGGUGAUGUUUCUGUCCCUUUACAUAGCUCUUGUCCUGAAAGAAGGAGGAAGAGAAAAGGAAUGGUAGUGGACGAUGUUGAUUGGGAAGACCUCAUUAUUGAGACCCUUGUUCUUCAUCAAGUAAAAGAUGAAGAAAUUGAGAAGGGGCAUUACAAUACCUUACUGGAUCUACAUGUGUUCAACUCUGGCAUUGUAUGAGAGGUUCAGAUAUAGAGGCAUUCUGUGAGAAAUUUCAGAUAAAUUUAUCGUAAUUGUCAGUUAACAUUUUGUCCAAGACAACCAUCUAGAGCAGAUUUUUUGUUGCUGCAAGUUUUGUACGAACAUCUUUUUUUGUAUGAAUGAUGAUGGCAAUUUUGUUUGUUACCUUUUAACAAUUCAGGGACCUUAAUGUACAUACAUGAUAUCAGGAUACAAUGAUGAUUCUAUAUUCAUCUUAUUUUGGUUCUGCUUUUACUAUAUUGCUGUUCAAAUUUUAGUUACAGCUUGUUUUUGGUGAUGAUAGAGUUUUGGAAUAUUCAUUUUUAACCAAUUGUAGGGUUUGGGAAGAUUUGUUUUUAAGCUGGUCUGUUUAUCAGUGGCUGUGACCGUAAAUGCUUGUGGUUCCCACGAAUUUGGAAUGAUUGUCCGAAACUGUAGCUACAUAUAUCUAUAUAAGGAAAAAGAAGGAGUCACAUGGAGACAAAUGGUAGUCUCUCUUCUCGACCUCCUUUAUGCUCCAUUAAAAUUUUGUUUUACUUGUUGAACUGGUUGUCCUUGCUGCAUCCAUUGUGAGCAAAUAUGGAAAAGGUGAGUUCUGUGUGGCCCUCAACUUAAGUCCUUGAUCUUUUUCUUUGAAAGAAUAGUUGACUUUUUUUUUAGUAAUCUGAACUUGAAACACAGGCUAUAUGGUUUUAGGAACUAGAAGGUAUAAAUUCCUAUAGGGCUAAUCGCUUUCCAGAAGUAUAUAUAUUAGUUUGAUAUGUGGGAAUCUACUGUCAAUACAUCUUUUGAUUUAGUUUGUGGUUCCUGAUAUUGAGAUAACCAAGUAACUGAUAUAUGUUGUAUACUCCUAUUUUAAAUUUAUGAUACAUGAUCUGUCAUUUUUAGUCUGUUUUCUUUUAUAUGGAGUUAAGAAAUCCUUUCCUACUUAAUAACUCAAUCUGUUAGUUGUGUAUGUAUCUCAAAUAUUGUAUCUUAUCAAUUGGCCCGUUACUAACUAUUGUCAAAUUCAAUAUUAGUUUUUAGUUUGUGUGAGACCCCUAACUAUUAUAAUAUAUUUUUCUCUUCUCUGCAUAACUCAAUAAACGUUUCUAGUUGUAUGAUAGUUAACAGGUGUUUUAGUGUUAAGUGUAUGAGUUUAGUAAUUUUAGUCGGUCUAUGAGAAUAUCAUAAUAUGCACCGGUAUUUUUUUAAUAAUUUGUUAAGACAGAAUAUGUAUCUACUACAGUAUAAAAUUUAUACUGUCUAUGAUUUUAAUACAGUA
This is a non-coding RNA of Vigna umbellata (rice bean), 1612 nucleotides long. Lineage: Eukaryota; Viridiplantae; Streptophyta; Magnoliopsida; Fabales; Fabaceae. The record is from RefSeq and is a predicted model, not a curated record.